Molecule: small nuclear RNA, 131 nt
Organism: Colobus angolensis palliatus
Lineage: Eukaryota; Metazoa; Chordata; Mammalia; Primates; Cercopithecidae
Gene: U4
Rfam family: U4 spliceosomal RNA
About the family: U4 small nuclear RNA (U4 snRNA) is a component of the major U2-dependent spliceosome. The structure of U4 snRNA from yeast and human has been reported.
Source: Ensembl
AGCUCUGUGCAGUGGCAGUAUCGUAGCCAACGAGGUUUGUCCGAGGGGUGAUCAUUGCUAAUUGAAAAUGAACAGCGCAAGGCAGUGGACCUUGUGAGGAGUAGAGAUAUUUUCACACACCUGGCGACAGA